UCGAGCGAGGUUCUUUUGAACCUAGCGGCGAAUGGGUGAGUAACACGUGCUUAAUCUACCCUUUAGAUUGGAAUACCCAAUGGAAACAUUGGCUAAUGCCGGAUACGCAUGGAAUCGCAUGAUUCCGUUGUGAAAGGAGCCUUUAAAGCUCCGCUAGAGGAUGAGGGUGCGGAACAUUAGUUAGUUGGUAGGGUAAUGGCCUACCAAGACUAUGAUGUUUAGCCGGGUCGAGAGACUGAACGGCCACAUUGGGACUGAGAUACGGCCCAAACUCCUACGGGAGGCAGCAGUAGGGAAUAUUCCACAAUGAGCGAAAGCUUGAUGGAGCGACACAGCGUGCACGAUGAAGGUCUUCGGAUUGUAAAGUGCUGUUAUAGGGAAAGAACACCUGGUUGAGGAAAUGCUUCCAGGCUGACGGUACCCUGUCAGAAAGCGAUGGCUAACUAUGUGCCAGCAGCCGCGGUAAUACAUAGGUCGCAAGCGUUAUCCGGAAUUAUUGGGCGUAAAGCGUUCGUAGGCUGUUUAUUAAGUCUGGAGUCAAAUCCCAGGGCUCAACCCUGGCUCGCUUUGGAUACUGGUAAACUAGAGUUAGAUAGAGGUAAGCGGAAUUCCAUGUGAAGCGGUGAAAUGCGUAGAUAUAUGGAAGAACACCAAAGGCGAAGGCAGCUUACUGGGUCUAUACUGACGCUGAGGGACGAAAGCGUGGGGAGCAAACAGGAUUAGAUACCCUGGUAGUCCACGCCGUAAACGAUGAUCAUUAGUCGGUGGAGAGUUCACUGACGCAGCUAACGCAUUAAAUGAUCCGCCUGAGUAGUAUGCUCGCAAGAGUGAAACUUAAAGGAAUUGACGGGGACCCGCACAAGCGGUGGAGCAUGUGGUUUAAUUUGAAGAUACGCGGAGAACCUUACCCACUCUUGACAUCCUUCGCAAUGCUAUAGAGAUAUAGCGGAGGUUAACGGAGUGACAGAUGGUGCAUGGUUGUCGUCAGCUCGUGUCGUGAGAUGUUUGGUCAAGUCCUGCAACGAGCGCAACCCCUAUCUUUAGUUACUAACGAGUCAUGUCGAGGACUCUAGAGAUACUGCCUGGGUAACUGGGAGGAAGGUGGGGAUGACGUCAAAUCAUCAUGCCUCUUACGAGUGGGGCAACACACGUGCUACAAUGGUCGGUACAAAGAGAAGCAAUAUGGCGACAUGGAGCAAAUCUCAAAAAGCCGAUCUCAGUUCGGAUUGGAGUCUGCAAUUCGACUCCAUGAAGUCGGAAUCGCUAGUAAUCGCAGAUCAGCUACGCUGCGGUGAAUACGUUCUCGGGUCUUGUACACACCGCCCGUCACACCAUGGGAGCUGGUAAUACCCAAAGUCGGUUAGCUAACCUCGGAG
Molecule: ribosomal RNA, 1376 nt
Filed under: Mycoplasmopsis arginini
Lineage: Bacteria; Bacillati; Mycoplasmatota; Mycoplasmoidales; Metamycoplasmataceae
Description: Mycoplasma arginini partial 16S ribosomal RNA
Rfam family: Bacterial small subunit ribosomal RNA
Source: RNAcentral